RNAcentral lists this transfer RNA (69 nucleotides) under Choloepus didactylus (southern two-toed sloth). RNAcentral's name for it is "tRNA-Arg". Lineage: Eukaryota; Metazoa; Chordata; Mammalia; Pilosa; Megalonychidae. The record is from RNAcentral.
UGAUAAUUAGUUUAACCCAAGACAAAUGAUUUCGACUCAUUAGACUACGAUUAAGCUCGUAAUUAUCAU